GCUGGGCGUGGUGGUGCAUGCCUGUAAUCCCAGCUACUCAGGAGGCUGAGGCAGGAGAAUCGCUUGAACCCAGGAGGCGGAGGUUGCAGUGAGCCAAGAUGGCACCACUGCACUCCAGCCUGGGUGACAGAGUGAGACUCCAUCUCAA
Molecule: non-coding RNA, 148 nt
Organism: Gorilla gorilla gorilla (western lowland gorilla)
Lineage: Eukaryota; Metazoa; Chordata; Mammalia; Primates; Hominidae
Rfam family: Metazoan signal recognition particle RNA
About the family: The signal recognition particle (SRP) is a universally conserved ribonucleoprotein. It is involved in the co-translational targeting of proteins to membranes. The eukaryotic SRP consists of a 300-nucleotide 7S RNA and six proteins: SRPs 72, 68, 54, 19, 14, and 9.
Source: Rfam